CCUACGGGAGGCAGCAGUGAGGAAUAUUGGUCAAUGGACGAGAGUCUGAACCAGCCAAGUAGCGUGAAGGAUGACUGCCCUAUGGGUUGUAAACUUCUUUUAUAAAGGAAUAAAACGAGGCACGUGUGCCUUUUUGCAUGUACUUUAUGAAUAAGGAUCGGCUAACUCCGUGCCAGCAGCCGCGGUAAUACGGAGGAUCCGAGCGUUAUCCGGAUUUAUUGGGUUUAAAGGGAGCGUAGAUGGGUUGUUAAGUCAGUUGUGAAAGUUUGCGGCUCAACCGUAAAAUUGCAAUUGAUACUGGCAGUCUUGAGUACAGUUGAGGUAGGCGGAAUGCGUGGUGUAGCGGUGAAAUGCUUAGAUAUCACGAAGAACCCCGAUUGCGAAGGCAGCUUACUAAACUGCGACUGACAUUGAUGCUCGAAAGUGUGGGUAGCAAACAGGAUUAGAUACCCGAGUAGUC
RNAcentral lists this ribosomal RNA (460 nucleotides) under uncultured bacterium. RNAcentral's name for it is "partial 16S ribosomal RNA". It matches the Rfam family "Bacterial small subunit ribosomal RNA", at positions 338 to 795 of the family's 1533-position model. The record is from RNAcentral.